CUUGGUCAUUUAGAGGAAGUAAAAGUCGUAACAAGGUUUCCGUAGGUGAACCUGCGGAAGGAUCAUUAUCGUACAAUGGGGGUACCACGGCUGUCGCUGACUUUUUCGGUCGUGCACGCCAGAGUGCUCUCACAUACAAAUAUCCAUCUCACCCCUUUGUGCAUCACCGCGUGGGUCCCCCUUCCUCCGAGGGGGGUCCUCACGUUUUUAACAUUAAACACCCAUUCGAACGUAUCGUAGAAUGUUCUUUGCGCGAUCACGCGCGAUCAAUACAACUUUCAACAACGGAUCUCUUGGCUCUCGCAUCGAUGAAGAACGCAGCGAAAUGCGAUACGUAAUGUGAAUUGCAGAAUUCAGUGAAUCAUCGAAUCUUUGAACGCAUAUUGCGCUCUUUGGUAUUCCGAAGAGCAUGCUUGUUUGAGUAUCAGUAAACACCUCAACCUCUCUUUUUGACAAAAAAAGGGAGGGUGGACUUGAGCUAUCCCAACGACCUUCACCGGUAGGCGGGCGGCUUGAAAUGCAGGUGCAGCUGGACUUUUAUCUGAGCUAAAAGCAUAUCUAUUUAGUCCUCGUCAAACAGGAUUAUUACUUUUGCUGCAGCUAACAUAAAGGAUAAUUGUCCUCUUUGCUGACUGAUGCAGGAUUUUACGACACUUUAUGUGUUGUUCAACUCGAUCUCAAAUCAAGUAAGACUACCCGCUGAACUUAAGCAUAUCAAUAAGCGGAGGA
RNAcentral lists this ribosomal RNA (729 nucleotides) under uncultured fungus. RNAcentral describes it as "eukaryotic LSU rRNA". The stretch from base 274 to 427 matches the Rfam family "5.8S ribosomal RNA". The record is from RNAcentral. Lineage: Eukaryota; Fungi.